ACGUAUAUCCGGUUGCCUGCAUUCCGCUCCGCGUUCCGCGUUCCCUGCCUCUCUCACAUUUUAUUGGCGUCCGUUUUAAGUUUGUCAGUUUUUAGUUAUAAAAUUUACGUGAUAACAGUAUUUUAAAGUGAUCUUAGUGUUUAACAUUAAAUAGGAAACAUGUCUUACGGAGGUCAAGGUGGUGGCGGAUUCCGAGGCAGUCGCGAAAGCUUCUCCGGGGGCGGAGGUGGCGGCGGAGGUCGUGGUUUUGGCGGCCCAAGAAGCGGAGGAGGGGGAGGAGGAAGCGGAGGAUUCCGUAGCGGCGGUGGAGGAGGAGGCGGUAGCGGUGGCGGUGGGUUCCGUAACGGCGGAGGUGGGGGAGGCGGUGGAUUCCGUAACUCCGGAGGAGGCGGUGGCGGAUUCCGUAGCGGUGGAGGUGGCGGGGGCGGUGGUUUUCGAAGCGGCGGAGGUGGAUCGGGCGGCGGUGGAAGAUUUGGGGGCCGAGGAGGAGGCGGGGGCGGCCCAGGUCGCGGAUUACGCAAGCCCCAAUGGGAUAUGAACUCGCUACGCCCUAUAAAGAAGGACUUCUACGUGCCUCACCCUGCUGUAAGCAGUCGAUCCCCUUACGAAGUGGACGCGUACCGCCAAGCCAAAGAGAUCACCGUGGACGGGGACGUUCCAAAUCCGAUUCAAAAUUUCGAUGAAGCCUGCUUUCCGGACUACGUCAUGCAGGAAGUAAGAAAUCAAGGUUAUGAUGCUCCUACUCCAAUCCAAGCGCAAGGCUGGCCAAUCGCUCUGAGCGGUCGCGACCUAGUUGGAAUAGCUCAAACCGGAUCGGGAAAAACACUAGCCUACAUCCUCCCUGCCAUCGUGCACAUCAAUAACCAACCUCGUCUCAGUCCCGGCGAUGGCCCCAUCGCGCUCAUCCUGGCCCCCACCAGAGAGCUGGCUCAGCAAAUUCAGCAAGUGGCCACCGAUUUCGGCCGGUCCUCCUACACGCGCAACACCUGCAUCUUCGGCGGAGCUCCAAAAAAUCCCCAAAAAUGGGAUCUGGAAAAGGGCGUGGAGAUUUGCAUCGCCACUCCGGGCAGGUUGAUUGAUUUCCUUCAGAAGGGAACUACAAACCUUGCCAGGUGCACCUAUUUGGUUCUGGACGAAGCCGAUCGGAUGUUGGACAUGGGUUUCGAGCCUCAGAUCAGAAAGAUUAUUGAGCAGAUCAGGCCGGACAGGCAGACGCUGAUGUGGUCGGCGACGUGGCCAAAGGAAGUGAGGAAGCUGGCGUCGGAUUUCAUGAAUAACUUCGUGACUAUUAAUAUCGGGUCGAUGCAGCUGUCUGCUAACCAUAACAUUCUUCAGAUUGUCGACGUGUGUCAGGAACACGAAAAGGAGUUCAAACUCAACCAAUUGCUGCAGGAAAUCGGCAAUAAUUCCGAGGCGGGCGCCAAAAUAAUAAUUUUCGUAGAAACCAAGAGAAAGGUGGAGCUGAUCACUCGUAACAUCCAGCGUUACGGUUGGCCCGCGUUGUGCAUGCACGGGGACAAGAGCCAGCAAGAACGUGACUUUGUUCUCAAGGAUUUCAGAACAGGAAAAUCAACUAUCCUCGUUGCCACGGAUGUGGCAGCUCGAGGUCUAGAGGCACAAGCAGGCUCGGCGUAUUCGGCACUGGCAAUAAAAUGACUAAAAAUCUUAACCUAAACAAACAGAGUGCCAAUGAAUACGCCAUUAAGUUGUGUUCUAAAUAAAAAGGACACCGGUCUUGCGGGUGUCUCUGGCUGGCUGUCCGAUCCGGGAGACCGAUGGGCACCUUUUUGAUGUUUGGCCGCAUCAAAUUGUUGGCAUAAUCCUUGUAACGGUUGUCCACGCUGAAGGAACCGCACUCGCUAAUGUCAACCUGUCGGUCCUGCAGUGGCCGGGCUGCGAGAAGCGAGACCACUGCAGCAGCAACACAAUCUUUAAAUCGAUUUAGUGCUACUAUAGAUGUAACAAAAAACGAAAAAAUCGAAGCUGCUCAACGGCCAGAGCACCAAGGACGUAGACGGAAUAAGGUACGUUAUAAACUACGACUAUCCCAAUUCUUCCGAGGACUACAUCCACAGGAUAGGAAGAACGGGCCGAUCUGACACAACAGGAACGUCUUACGCUUUCUUUACGCCUAACAAUUUCCGAC
RNAcentral lists this unclassified non-coding RNA (2146 nucleotides) under Sitophilus oryzae (rice weevil). RNAcentral's name for it is "aTP-dependent RNA helicase dbp2-like, transcript variant X1". Lineage: Eukaryota; Metazoa; Arthropoda; Insecta; Coleoptera; Curculionidae. The record is from RNAcentral.